RNAcentral lists this ribosomal RNA (232 nucleotides) under Pseudomonas sp. ICMP 564. RNAcentral describes it as "partial 16S ribosomal RNA". It matches the Rfam family "Bacterial small subunit ribosomal RNA", at positions 1 to 235 of the family's 1533-position model. Lineage: Bacteria; Pseudomonadati; Pseudomonadota; Gammaproteobacteria; Pseudomonadales; Pseudomonadaceae. The record is from RNAcentral.
GAACUGAAGAGUUUGAUCAUGGCUCAGAUUGAACGCUGGCGGCAGGCCUAACACAUGCAAGUCGAGCGGUAGGGAGAAGCUUGCUUCUCUUGAGAGCGGCGGACGGGUGAGUAAUGCCUAGGAAUCUGCCUGGUAGUGGGGGAUAACGUUCGGAAACGGACGCUAAUACCGCAUACGUCCUACGGGAGAAAGCAGGGGACCUUCGGGCCUUGCGCUAUCAGAUGAGCCUAGG